UUAAAGAUCAUUCUCCGAUCCGCUUCAUCUAAAGAGUUGAUCCAUGAUGAGCGGACAGUGGGUAUAACUGGAAACGGCCAUGCCUCCCGUGCUUGGAAAGGGGAAUAGUUGGAGUAGUA
RNAcentral lists this non-coding RNA (119 nucleotides) under Desulfobacteraceae bacterium. RNAcentral's name for it is "MoCo sequence". It matches the Rfam family "Molybdenum/Tungsten riboswitch aptamer (Moco RNA motif)". The record is from RNAcentral. Lineage: Bacteria; Pseudomonadati; Thermodesulfobacteriota; Desulfobacteria; Desulfobacterales; Desulfobacteraceae.